This 923-nucleotide ribosomal RNA is filed under the name uncultured bacterium. Its description in RNAcentral is "bacterial SSU rRNA". It matches the Rfam family "Bacterial small subunit ribosomal RNA", at positions 9 to 916 of the family's 1533-position model. The record is from RNAcentral.
GAGUUUGAUCAUGGCUCAGGAUGAACGCUAGCGACAGGCUUAACACAUGCAAGUCGAGGGGCAGCGGGGGCGGAAGCUUGCUUUCGCCCGCCGGCGACCGGCGCACGGGUGAGUAACACGUAUGCAACCUGGCCGCCACAGGGGGAUAACCCGCGGAAACGCGGCCUAAUACCCCGUGACGCCACCGGAGGGCAUCCUCCGGUGGCCAAAGGAGCGAUCCGGUGGCGGAUGGGCAUGCGGCGCAUUAGCUAGACGGCGGGGUGACGGCCCACCGUGGCGACGAUGCGUAGGGGUUCUGAGAGGAAGGCCCCCCACACUGGGACUGAGACACGGCCCAGACUCCUACGGGAGGCAGCAGUGAGGAAUAUUGGUCAAUGGGCGGAAGCCUGAACCAGCCAAGUCGCGUGAGGGAUUAAGGCCCUGCGGGUCGUAAACCUCUUUUGCCGGGGAGCAGAGGUCCGGACGUGUCCGGGCCGGGAGAGUACCCGGAGAAAAAGCAUCGGCUAACUCCGUGCCAGCAGCCGCGGCAAUACGGAGGAUGCGAGCGUUAUCCGGAUUUAUUGGGUUUAAAGGGUGCGUAGGCGGGCAUUUAAGCCGGCGGUCAAAUGUCGGGGCUCAACCCCGGCCUGCCGUCGGAACUGGGUGCCUUGAGUGGGCGAGAAGUAUGCGGAAUGCGUGGUGUAGCGGUGAAAUGCAUAGAUAUCACGCAGAACCCCGAUUGCGAAGGCAGCAUACCGGCGCCCGACUGACGCUGAGGCACGAAAGUGCGGGUAUCGAACAGGAUUAGAUACCCUGGUAGUCCGCACAGUAAACGAUGGAUGCUAUCUGUCCGGGCCGAAUGAGGCCUGGGUGGCACAGCGAAAGCGUUAAGCAUCCCACCUGGGGAGUACGCCGGCAACGGUGAAACUCAAAGGAAUUGACGG